Long non-coding RNA from Rhodamnia argentea, 2827 nucleotides. RefSeq lists it as uncharacterized. The transcript has 2 exons. Lineage: Eukaryota; Viridiplantae; Streptophyta; Magnoliopsida; Myrtales; Myrtaceae. The record is from RefSeq and is a predicted model, not a curated record.
UUUGCAUUGGAACAACUUAUCAUGUCGUGCAAAGGGGAUCGUGUCGAUCCGUCUCGAUGAUAAUCACAGUUUGUGUUUGGUUUCUCACCUCCUCAUUAUUAAAACUUCCAAAUGCUAGAGUUUAAAACUUCUUAGCAUUUCUGUAGCUAUCUGUUAUCUCUUUUGACUAAAGAGAAUCUGGGCAUCUUGUGGUCAUUGUGGUCGCAAAUUUCUGAACCUUUGGCUUCCUAUGCAGCUCGAGUAGAUCACUGCUGAGAGCUUGUAGCAUGGCAGUUUUAUAGCAAGCAGUGUCUUUAGUUGCAUGUGUGGACUUUGUCAUAGCAAUCUCAUAGACUUGGUGAUCGGGCCAAUGGGAAACUAAUUUGCAGGAUAAACUUUUCCAUAGAGCUUGAGGCAAAUGUCUAUCCCAGUUGAUGGCUAGCUCAUGAACAUAUAGCUGAUAUAAUGGAGAUUUUUGGUUUCUACAUAUCAGGCCAAUUUGACAUGUGUUUGUCUUGUUCAAGUUGGAACAUUGUUCUUGCUAGAAAUGGGAAAGAUAUAUUCGUUCCUCACUCAGUAUAUUAUUUACGAUUUCAAUAUCUCAUUCUUGUGUUCCAUUUUCAUCUUGAUUUAUCUAGAAGUAGGGAAGCAAUACACAAGAUUGACUAGCUGCAUGAACACUACAUAGCGGAUGCUGCAUCAGAUCAAAAUGGCUUGAGGGUCAUAUGAUUGUUAAACUCUUUCUUCAAGUUUGUGGUUCUAAGUUACCGGCGAAGAACAUGGAGGUCUUGAGUACAGCCCAAGGCACAAAGAAUGAGAAUCAUCGGCCUGCAACGGGCCUAAUUUGUGCAGUGCACGAGGGAUCUCGACAAUGGUUAUGAACUGGUCUUCUAGGAGCUUUAACUGCUGAUUGGGGGUUCAACGAUCUGCUGAUCUAUUGAGGCAUGAAGAAAUGGUCAGCUUUGUGAUUGGGUACUACGUGAAGUUACUCAUUGACAUAUUGUGUGGCGAUUCACUUCUUUUUAAUUCUCUGUUUAUUUGCCCAUUUUGGUGAUUGUUUCCUCUCCCCUGUUCUAUUUCAUUUUUGGGUCUCCUGAAGUUGUUCUAGCUUACCUGCCAGAAAUUAAGCUGAUGCAGGUGUGAAAUUGCUAGUUGGGAUGUGCAGACACCAAUUUUAUUGAAGUGACAGAAAUGGGCACCGAUUUGCUCCUAUGGCAUGACUAGUAAAGAAUGGCAGAAGCCCAAUGUCUCUUCUGAUGUGUGGAGGAUUCAAUGACAGGUAUCAUCAAAAUUUCUGAUGAUGCAAAGAAAACCAAAAACACAGUACUGAAGAUUGGUGUUGCUACUUGUUAGAAGCAUGCACCGGCUUAUUGUCUCGAAUUAGAGUCUGAGAGCACUAGUUGGCCUGUGGUAAGGAAAAUCCAGGAACUUCCAUAUAGUGCAUCAUCUCAAUGGUGUGCUGCUUGGAGAUUGAUUAGGCUGGACCAGAUCACCUCCUAGGAUGUUCUACUCAGAUUAUUUCAGAAGAUGAAUCUGGUCUCUCGCAAUUCUCGUUCACACAAGCAAACAGUUGUGUUUUUUGUGCUCUCUUCCUAGAAUAAUAAUGCUUUAACAAGUGUUGUAUUUUCCUGUUUCAGCUUGGUGCAUUUUAGAACGUAAUCAGGCCGAGGAAGUCAUAGAAGAGCAAGCAUGCUUCCAUUCAAAAGCAAGUGAUGAGUAGUACCAAUGGUUGGUGGCAAAUGGCUAUCAAUCUGGUAUUUCAAGUCAUGCGAUACCUUGAAACAGGAGCUCAUCAGCAUUAAGAUGUGGUUUUGCUUCGGCAAGAGUUUGUUUGCACGGAUAUAGUGCAUGGAGAUGAUGGAUUGUUGCAAAUAGCCACUUCAUUCCGAACUUCUAAAGCUGUUGCAAUUUCUUGUACUCGUGCAUGCCGUGUGGCACUGUUGCUGAAUAACCUUCCAGUAAACAGUUAUCAAUAACGCGUGGUGUUGCGGACUCUGAGCUGGAGGUUUCUAUCAGACAGCAAUCCAUUGGCACAGCCUUUCAAGAUGUAUUGUUCUUAGGCUUCAUUAGCAUUCAGGUGAUGUGACAACGAUUCCAAGGUCACAAAGGAGUGUUUUGAUACUGUUCGACUGCUAAACAUGAACUCACGAGUAAAUGCCAUCUGAUUAGGGUUUACAUUCAGAGUGGAUCAGUCUUCCUUGCCGUUAUGUUUCUUGCUGGCAGUAUUGAACUCAACGAGUUGUACGGAGGAAAGCUACUCCAUGACAGAGGUCGCGUGCAAAUGCAACUUAUGAUGUCAACUGUUGUCGCCUCGUGGCUCUCUUCUGUUCUUUCUCCCUUCAAAGUGAAAGGUACGUUUUUGUCAAUAAGACGACGAACCCAUUGAAGAAAGAAAGGCAAGCCGCCUGGUUGGAAACAUUGGGAGCCCAUUCAGAACGUCCAGUGACGUUCUUCAUGACGACCAUCUUCAUCAAUAUUCAAAUUGUUGAAGUUUGAGCAAAGCACUAACUCAUUCUACUAAGAGACAGUCAAGAUCUGCCCAAUCGCACAUUAUGUUAGUGGUGAGUCCAAGCUUUGGGUUAGGUGUCUGCGGUAGAAUGCCAAAAGGAGUCCACGAGUCCAAACCUAAUUUCAAAGAGCAUGAGCUUUCACCAGUUACCAACGCCGCCCUUAGAGAGAGCUCAUGCAUUUUGACCUUACCAGAACGUGUGGGAAAGAUGACAGAUCCUCUACCAUCUUUAGUCUUGUUAGCUCUGAUCUCCUUAAUAAACAACCCCAAUUAAGUGCACAACAUGUUUGACAAAAUCUUGUCCAAGCACAAAUUAUGUUCUUUGUCGUUUUACUUUUA